Molecule: long non-coding RNA, 602 nt
Organism: Spinacia oleracea (spinach)
Lineage: Eukaryota; Viridiplantae; Streptophyta; Magnoliopsida; Caryophyllales; Amaranthaceae
Exons: 2
Source: RefSeq, a predicted model, not a curated record
GCAAUCCAAUGUAGAGAGCAACAUUUAUUUGUUAUUGGAGAGGUGUAAUACCCUUAUUGCCCUUGUAGCUUAUUCAAAAAAAAAAAAAGUGUUGUUGAAAAGGAGAGAAAGAGAGUGUAUGUUUACGUGCGAGCGUGUGGGAUCGAGGAGAGGGCUUACAUGAAAAUGGGAGGGAUAGUUGAGUAGCCAAGGAUGACUUGCCUGCUUCUUAGUGCAGUGAUCGAGGGUCGUCGAUCUGUUUCUGAUCGACACUCGCUCUCUAUGAGGUGUCAGGCAGUCUCCUUGGCUAUCUUAACGGCCUCCUAUGUCUCUCAUGCUAGCCCCCCGGCCUCUCGACUCUUCUUUCGUCUAAUGGCCAAAUUUAAACAACAUUUUGUCUCACAAUUAUUAAACUCAAGAAAUGGUUCAGGCCAAGAAAGUGACGAACUAGUCUGGUGAAGUAUACGGGCCGGGCCAUCAACAACUAUCCGAAACCCAAGAUAGUGAAGUACUCCAAAGUCAAAAGUGGUUUUCAAGAGAUGCAAACGGGUCAAUCUGAUCCAAUGUUCUCGGUGUAUAUUAUUGGGUUACAAACUCAAAUGAAGCCGAAAUUUUGGCCAUAA